This 863-nucleotide ribosomal RNA is filed under the name uncultured Gammaproteobacteria bacterium. Its description in RNAcentral is "bacterial SSU rRNA". It matches the Rfam family "Bacterial small subunit ribosomal RNA", at positions 8 to 846 of the family's 1533-position model. Lineage: Bacteria; Pseudomonadati; Pseudomonadota; Gammaproteobacteria. The record is from RNAcentral.
AGAGUUUGAUCCUGGCUCAGAUUGAACGUUGGCGGCAGGCUUAAGACAUGCAAGUCGAGCGGUAACAGAUCGCUAGGAUCCCUUCGGGGUGACUUUGAUGCUGACGAGCGGCGGACGGGUGAGUAACACGUAGGAAUCUGCCCAGUAGCGGGGGAUAGCCCAGGGAAACUUGGAUUAAUACCGCAUACACCCUAAGGGGAAAAGAAGGCCUCUCUUGAAGCUUUCACUAUUGGAUGAGCCUGCGUAAGAUUAGCUUGUUGGUGGGGUAAAGGCCUACCAAGGCAACGAUCUUUAGCUGGUCUGAGAGGACGAUCAGCCACAUUGGGACUGAGACACGGCCCAGACUUCUACGGAAGGCAGCAGUUAGGAAUAUUGGACAAUGGGGGCAACCCUGAUCCAGCUAUACCGCGUGUGUGAAGAAGGCCCUAGGGUUGUAAAGCACUUUAAGCAGGGAAGAAGCAUGUUAAGUUAAUACCUUAACAUGUUGACGUUACCUGAAGAAUAAGGACCGGCUAACUCCGUGCCAGCAGCCGCGGUAAUACGGAGGGUCCAAGCGUUAAUCGGAAUUACUGGGCGUAAAGCGCGCGUAGGCGGUUUAAUAAGUUGUAUGUGAAAACCCUGGGCUCAACCUAGGAACUGCAUACAAAACUAUUAAGCUUGAGGACGAGAGAGGAGAGUAGAAUUUCAGGUGUAGCGGUGAAAUGCGUAGAUAUCUGAAGGAAUACCAAUGGCGAAGGCAGCUCUCUGGCUCGUUUCUGACGCUAAGGUGCGAAAGCGUGGGUAGCAAACAGGAUUAGAUACCCUGGUAGUCCACGCCGUAAACGAUGAUAACUAGCCGUUGGGCAGAUUUAACUGUUCAGUGG